GGGGCUGUCCUGGAUUCGACAGGAUAGUUCGAGUUUGAUAAGCAUGCGAUCGGCAGAUCUCAAAAUGCACCCAGUAAAUAUAACUGGAACCAAUAACUACGCUUACGCUGCUUAAUAAGAAGUAGCGAGUCGUUCCCCUCCAGCCUGCGGGUUCGGAUCGACUUCAGAAAGCAGGAUAGCGACCUUUGUCACCGCCUUCGGCAAACUAGCGAAAUCAAUAAGGCUGGUCGUUUGGCAGGGUGCCUCCUGACAGCCAACCGAUGAGAAAUCCCGGGAGACUAAGCAUGUAGAAAGUCAAAUGUUCGGCUGUUUUGGACGGGGGUUCGAUUCCCCCCAGCUCCACCA
RNAcentral lists this transfer-messenger RNA (345 nucleotides) under Acholeplasmataceae bacterium. It matches the Rfam family "transfer-messenger RNA". Rfam says of the family: Bacterial tmRNA, also known as 10Sa RNA or SsrA, is named for its dual tRNA and mRNA-like properties. Its role is to liberate the mRNA from a stalled ribosome. To accomplish this part of the tmRNA is used as a reading frame that ends in a translation stop signal. Lineage: Bacteria; Bacillati; Mycoplasmatota; Mollicutes; Acholeplasmatales; Acholeplasmataceae. The record is from RNAcentral. RNAcentral also lists the same sequence under 1 other name.